CAGAGUCGUAAAAAACUCCCAACCCAUGUGAAUUUACCUUUGUUGCCUCGGCAGGACCUACCCUGUAGCUACUCUGUAGCUACCUUGUAGCCUGCCGGUGGACCAUUAAACUCUUGUUAUUUAAUAGUAAUCUGAGCGUCUUAUUUAAUAAGUCA
Molecule: unclassified non-coding RNA, 155 nt
Filed under: uncultured Amphisphaeriaceae
Lineage: Eukaryota; Fungi; Ascomycota; Sordariomycetes; Amphisphaeriales; Amphisphaeriaceae
Description: sequence contains ITS1
Source: RNAcentral